Molecule: transfer RNA, 48 nt
Filed under: Brookesia brygooi
Lineage: Eukaryota; Metazoa; Chordata; Lepidosauria; Squamata; Chamaeleonidae
Description: partial tRNA-Leu
Source: RNAcentral
ACUUUUAAAGGAAAAUAGCUAUCCAAUGGSCCUAGGAACCAAAUUUCU